GAGUUUGAUCAUGGCUCAGGAUGAACGCUAGCGGCAGGCUUAACACAUGCAAGUCGAGGGGUAUAGUUCUUCGGAAUUAGAGACCGGCGCACGGGUGCGUAACGCGUAUGCAAUCUACCUUUCACAGAGGGAUAGCCCAGAGAAAUUUGGAUUAAUACCUCAUAGUAUAACGACUCCGCAUGGAGAUGUUAUUAAAGUCACAACGGUGAAAGAUGAGCAUGCGUCCCAUUAGCUAGUUGGUAAGGUAACGGCUUACCAAGGCUACGAUGGGUAGGGGUCCUGAGAGGGAGAUCCCCCACACUGGUACUGAGACACGGACCAGACUCCUACGGGAGGUAGCAGUGAGGAAUAUUGGACAAU
RNAcentral lists this ribosomal RNA (360 nucleotides) under uncultured bacterium. RNAcentral describes it as "bacterial SSU rRNA". It matches the Rfam family "Bacterial small subunit ribosomal RNA", at positions 9 to 372 of the family's 1533-position model. The record is from RNAcentral.